RNAcentral lists this small RNA (225 nucleotides) under Solanum amotapense. RNAcentral describes it as "SprA". Lineage: Eukaryota; Viridiplantae; Streptophyta; Magnoliopsida; Solanales; Solanaceae. The record is from RNAcentral.
UAAUUGAAUAAUUUAACGAUUUCCCUUUCCUAUUUGAUAUUGAUUAGCUCACCAAUCCAUAUGUAUAUGUAAUGGAACUCUAUUCACUUUUCUGAUUGAUAUAUAAAAUAAUAGAAUUAGGAAAUCCUCUAUUUACUAUUCACUGAAUAAUAACUUUUUUGUUGACAAAAGAAUAAAGAUCAUUUCUAUUCCAAGGUGGGGAGUUUUAUUUUCCCCAUCGACCUA